GCCAUGAGCCUUGGAGCAAAUCUACACCAAACACAGAAAGCAUGUGUUUUUUUUUUUUUUGUUGUUUUUUGUUUUGUUUUUUGUUUUAAAGAGAAUUUUGCUCAUGAAUUAAACAUGGCCCAUAUGGAAUAAGUGAUGAAGGAAAAAGGCUUCUUGCUGAUGCAGAGGUUGCUCUCAAACAUCUUUCCUCCUGAUGAACACACAGCUUCCACGUUGUCUUUCUCACUGAAGGGAAAGAAUGACUGAAUCGUUCUGUUCCAGUGCAGGGUCGAGGUGGGUGCAGCAUGUCUGGUUCACUCAGACAGGCGUGGAGUGUGAGAGUCAAGAUGACCACGAAUGACAGCAAGCACACCUACCUAUAUAAACCUGAACCUGAGUCAAAGCACUGACAAACAUCUGACUGGACACAAGUACUUUUUGCAUUAUGAUCCUUAAAAUGUUGUCAUUCGUGAUCAUCUUGACUGUGGUGCUCCACACUAGUCUGAGUGAGCUGGACAUGUGGUACCCAUCUAAGCCCUGCACUAAAGCAAAGAACCUGGAUGGGUAUGACACUUUCCUGAACCACCACCUUCGUAAGGACGCACCAAAUGAUCCACGCAAACUAAGAGAAUGGCAGAAGUUCAUCACCAAAAUCAACACCUGGAACAGGCCGAUUCAGUCAUUCCUUCCCUUCAGAGAAGCAAGAAGGGUGAUAGCUGUGUGUUCAUCAGCAGGAAAAAUGUAUGAAGGGAACCUCUGCAUCAGCAAGAAGCCUUUCACAUUCUUCACUGUUGAGAUCGCAGCUAAGAAGCAAGUCAAGAGAGUCAAGGUUCAGGAACAACAUGUUAUUCUUGGCUGUGAUAAAAUUAAAACUAAAUGUCUACCUAUUCAUUUUGAGGCAAAUGUAAAUGAUGAUAUACCAGAUGAUAUCGAACCUGACUGCAGCAAAGCAAUGGCAAAUUCAAGCUUUAUUACAUUCGAGGAGCUGUUUCAUGUCUAGACACAUGACCUGCAGAAUUCAGGUCACUUUUGUUCUUUUAUUUCUAUGUAACCAAUGAUGAAACUACAGUAAUUAGAGGAUGUCUGCUGACAUAAUGCAUUCUGUAUGUACACACACAAACAAACACGAAUAUUGCUUUCUAUGCUUUUGCUUCAUUAUUUCUUUCAUUUAAAUAAAAAUUUUAAUGCAUAAUAAA
Long non-coding RNA from Cyprinus carpio carpio, 1175 nucleotides. The record is from Ensembl. NCBI's taxonomy places the organism in Eukaryota, Metazoa, Chordata, Actinopteri, Cypriniformes, Cyprinidae.